Molecule: non-coding RNA, 5057 nt
Organism: Delphinapterus leucas (beluga whale)
Lineage: Eukaryota; Metazoa; Chordata; Mammalia; Artiodactyla; Monodontidae
Source: RefSeq, a predicted model, not a curated record
CGUGCGGCGGCCCCAGGUACGCGGACAAGAUGGCGGCGGCAGCGGUCGACAGCGCGAUGGAAGUGGUGCCGGCGCUGGCGGAGGAGGCCGCGCCUGAGGCAGCGGGCCUCAGCUGCCUCGUCAACCUGCCCGGCGAGGUGCUGGAGUACAUCCUGUGCAGCGGCUCGCUGACGGCCGCCGACAUCGGCCGCGUCUCCAGCACCUGCCGGCGGCUGCGCGAGCUGUGCCAGAGUAGCGGGAAGGUGUGGAAGGAGCAGUUCCGGGUGAGGUGGCCUUCCCUUAUGAAACACUACAGCCCCACCGACUACGUCAAUUGGUUGGAGGAGUAUAAAGUUCGGCAGAAAGCUGGGUUAGAGGCCCGGAAGAUUGUAGCCUCCUUCUCAAAGAGGUUCUUUUCAGAGCACGUCCCUUGUAACGGUUUUAGUGACAUUGAGAAUCUUGAGGGACCAGAGAUAUUUUUUGAGGAUGAACUGGUGUGUAUCCUAAAUAUGGAAGGAAGAAAAGCUUUGACCUGGAAAUACUACGCCAAAAAAAUUCUUUAUUACCUGCGACAACAGAAAAUUUUAAAUAAUCUUAAGGCUUUUCUUCAGCAGCCUGAUGAUUAUGAAUCAUAUCUUGAAGGUGCAGUGUAUAUUGACCAGUACUGCAAUCCUCUCUCCGACAUCAGCCUCAGAGACAUUCAGGCCCAGAUUGACAGCAUCGUGGAGCUUGUUUGCAAAACCCUCCGGGGCAUAAACAGUCGCCACCCCAGCUUGGCCUUCAAGGCAGGUGAAUCCUCCAUGAUAAUGGAAAUAGAACUCCAGAGCCAGGUGCUGGAUGCCAUGAACUACGUCCUUUAUGACCAACUGAAGUUCAAGGGGAACCGAAUGGAUUACUAUAAUGCCCUAAACUUAUAUAUGCACCAGGUUUUAAUCCGCAGAACUGGAAUCCCAAUCAGCAUGUCUCUGCUCUACCUGACCAUUGCCCGGCAGUUGGGGGUCCCACUGGAGCCUGUCAACUUCCCCAGUCACUUCUUAUUAAGGUGGUGCCAAGGUGCAGAAGGGGCAACCCUGGACAUCUUUGACUACAUCUACAUAGAUGCCUUUGGGAAAGGCAAGCAGCUGACAGUGAAAGAAUGUGAAUACCUGAUCGGCCAGCAUGUGACUGCAGCGCUGUAUGGGGUGGUGAACGUAAAGAAGGUGUUACAGCGAAUGGUGGGAAACCUUUUAAGCCUGGGAAAGCGGGAAGGCAUCGACCAGUCGUACCAGCUCCUGAGGGACUCCCUGGAUCUGUACCUGGCGAUGUACCCGGACCAGGUGCAGCUCCUCCUUCUCCAAGCCAGGCUCUACUUCCACCUGGGCAUCUGGCCAGAGAAGUCUUUCUGUCUUGUCUUGAAGGUGCUUGACAUCCUCCAGCACAUCCAAACCCUAGACCCCGGGCAGCACGGGGCGGUGGGCUAUCUGGUGCAGCACACGCUGGAGCACAUUGAGCGGAAGAAGGAGGAGGUGGGCGUGGAGGUGAAGCUCCGCUCCCACGAGAAGCACAGAGACGUCUGCUAUGCCAUUGGGCUCAUUAUGAAGCAUAAGAGGUAUGGCUAUAACUGUGUCAUCUAUGGCUGGGACCCCACCUGCAUGAUGGGACAUGAGUGGAUUCGAAACAUGAACGUCCACAGCCUGCCUCACGGCCAUCAUCAGCCUUUCUAUAAUGUUCUGGUGGAGGACGGGUCCUGUAGAUAUGCCGCCCAAGGGAUUAGCAGCUGCCAGCCAGAGAUGUUCAGAGGACCACCUGUUGAGUCCUUGGUUUCUCAGGAUGGUGACUCGGUCACACGUUUAUGUGGGAGGAGACGCAGAAUGGGCGCACGCAGAGAGCCAGAAUAGAGCGGCCGCCGCACAAGAUGGCCCAGGGAUCCUGCCAGCUGGCUGCACGCCCCAGGCUCAGCUGUCCCCUCCAAGGAACUAGUGUCCCAUUUGGGAAAGAGAGAGAGAGGUAAUUUUCCAUUUUCCUCCCCCGGGUGACUCAGAAGAAAGCAAAAUCCAUUCCCAGCUUGUUUUACUACUACUGUCAUUUCUCUGGCUGAGCAGCACAGAUUGAAGGCUGGGGGAGAUUUGUCCACACCCACUGCACCUCCCGAUCCGGAGAUCUUUCUGCGAUCAGCUUCUCUCUCCACCUGCAGAAGCCUUGCAUCUGCGGGGGACCUGCUUGUUUGCCUGGAGACGCUGCCUCGCUGUCAUCGUUUUAUUUUAAAUGGAAGUGCCCCUCCCCCUCGGUGGCCCAGGGAUGGGCGGGGUUCAGACGGCUCGGAUUCGGCCAUACGUUGCUGCCUUGUGGAAUGUGCCACAAAUCCACCAGAACAGAACAGGCUGGGAAAGUCACGGGAGAGAGGCUGUGUCUUCCGACACGCUCUCUUUGGGAUAGUGUUUGCUGAACAAACCUGGUCUUCCUUGGCUCCAGUCCUGCAGAGGGUACCUGGGUGCAUCCCCGCUGCCACCACCCUGGUCCAGGCCCCUGCUGCCUCCUGCCUUGAAAGUUCAGCUGCAUCCAAGGUGAUCUUUAAAGUACGUAUCUCUUCCAGUUAAUCCCUCGCUCGAUGGGAGUUGCAAGGAUAGAGCCCACACUCCUGAGGGCAGCUCUCCGCCCUCUAGCACACAGACUCUGCGUCAGCCCUGGGUCACAGGCUCCCUCGUUUCUCCACACACGCCCACCUCUGGGCCACCGCAUGGGCUGUUCCCUCUGCAGGGACACCCUACCUCCCACGUCGCGGCCAUGCCCUCGGCAGCUUCAACCUCCUCACUUUCGCCAGCCUGACCCCGCUCCCUUAGCGUCUUGAGCUUACCCCUGUCAGAGCACUUGCCGCUUGGGAUGUUCAUUUCUUGCCUGUGUCCCCCAGAACACUUCGAGCAACUUAAGGGCAGAUUCAGGGGCUGGAUCACCGUGAUGUGUGUACUUCCUGCACCUAGCGUGGCGCCUGGCAUUUGCCAAACUCAAUGGAAAGUGUCCUCAGGCAGCACUGGGUAGAAGAAAUAAUUUUAGAAGGAAAAGAGAAAUGGCCAUCCAGUUCAAGAGCUGACCCCCAAACUGUUCCACACAUACAGACUCUAGUCAUGGGUGUAUCUAUUGUCUUCUCUUUUUUGUGCAUGUCAUCUUCCCAGCCAGAGUAUUGCCAACCUGAGAGCAGACCCCCCUCUGUCUUUUAAAUAGUGGGGCUUAUCACGGUAAAGCCGAGAUAGAAAAACUUUUUCUAUAAAGAGCCAGAUAGUAAAUAUUUUGGGCUUUGCAGGCCAGUCUCUGUUGCAACUACUCAGCUCUGCGUACUGAAUACCAUCAAAAGACAUGGCAGCCGUGAGGGGAGGCCCGGAGAAUUAAUAGAAAUGCCAGCCCAGACUCCAACUCUGCUGAGCUUCUGUGCCAACCUUGGAAAUGCUCAUCUCCAACUUCUGGAUAAAAGGGAGAAGACCUGUCUGUGAUGUUUACAACAAGCAUUCUUCACUCACAGUCUAACAGAUCCUAAAUAACCUAAAUAAUGCUGUAUUAUUACAUUAUCAUAUAAAUAAAUGCUCAUUAGCACAAAGAGAAGGCAGCUUAAUACAUUUCCUCCUGCUGUGGCUUCCCAGUCUUCCCUGUUCGCUUUCCAACCAAAUGUGCAGAAUCCUCGAGGAGAAGUUUUGUAGUAAAAACCUAGACUCCAGGGAACCGGGGGUCUGAGGAACCCCAGCUGGGGAGCGUCAUCUGUCUCCUCACAUCCAUCUUAGAGAAGCCCAUGUGCUGUCUUCUGCAUUUUAGAGCCAAGAACUAGCUGGACACAGUACGGCGUGAGUGAGGGGUGAAAUGGCAGAAGCUUCUUACACAAGAACAGUCAGGGAAGAAAACUCCAGUGUUGCCUUGACAUUGUGCCCUCUGGCCAGCAUGCACACAUGGCCCAUCUCGUUGCCCCUUGCAGCCUCCCAGUACGGCGGGUCUGAUUAUCCCCGUCCUGCAGCAGGGGCUCGUGCUCUGAAACCACCAACGGCCGUGCUCUGAAUCCUUCAUUGCCUUUCAGUUCACUCAGAAUUCAACAGAGAGCAUCUCACAUGCCUACAAGCCACAGCUGCGGGCACCAGCAGCACAGACAAGACAGCCCUGCCGCCUUCUGCCAGUGAGCAUCUUCAGUUGCCCCACCUUCGUGGAGAAAGCAAACCCCGAGAGCCAGAUGCUUCUGGUGAGGCUGCCUGGAGCAAUAACGACCAAGCUUUGGUUGUCCGCAGUAAAUGGGGAAGGGGCAGUCCCCGUAGUUGCCAUCAGUAUUUCUUGAGCACCUACUAUGUGCACAGCCCUAUGCUGGGAGGAUGGAGGCCAUAAAAGGCACCCAGGCUAUGAGGCCAUGUCGGGAUUUGAGCAGUAUAAUACAAUCAUCUCUCCCACACACUGCAAGCCCACCGUGGGCCAGCCCUGCAUGCACGUCUCUCUGACCCUCACGGCAACCCUGCAGGGUAAGUGCCCUUUUGUUAUUCUCGUGCUGGAGCCAGGGGAAUUAAGGUCCAAAGGACAGUGAUAACUAGCGAAGGCCACACAGCUGACGAUGGUAACGCCUGGCCUCUGUGUGUCUAGUGCAGCGGGUGUCAAAGUCUGGUCCCCGGUCCCCCAGCAUCAGCAUCACCUGGGAACUCGUUAGAAAUGCAGGCUCUUGGGCCCCAGACCCGCGGAAUCAGGACCUCUGGGGAGGAGCCCACGAUCUGUAUUUGAACAAGUCCUCCAGGCUUCAAAUUUGGGAACCACUGAGUCGUGAGGUAUUUUAUGUAUAAAUGGUUUGAAGGCUGUAAAGCACUUAUUUGUCAGCAGGGUUUUUUUUGGUGCCUGAAAGGCUUUUUGUGUAAGAUUAUUCAGGGAACUCUGUUGGUUUUUUCCAGUUAAUGUUCUAUCUAUGACAAAUACAGAUUUGAAACACCAGUUCUUAAGAUUUUGUGUAGAAUUUUUGAAUCUUACUAUUUUGCUUAUAAAUUGACUAUAUUUUACAAUAACUUUUGUUUUUGUAAAAAACCACUUAAAUUCCCUUAGGUAUUUUAAGUGCACCAAUGCAUUUAAUAAAUUUGAUUUCUCCUUAA